This is a non-coding RNA of Podarcis lilfordi (Lilford's wall lizard), 75 nucleotides long. The record is from the annotation of a GenBank genome assembly. Lineage: Eukaryota; Metazoa; Chordata; Lepidosauria; Squamata; Lacertidae.
ACUUAGGUUUAGCUUAAUCAAUAGAGCGUGAGACUCUUGAUCUCAUGGUCGUAGGUUCGAAUCCCGCACUGGGCA